GAGACAGCAGUCGCCGCGGUAAUACAGAGGGUGCGAGCGUUAAUCGGAUUUACUGGGCGUAAAGCGUGCGUAGGCGGCUUCUUAAGUCGGAUGUGAAAUCCCUGAGCUUAACUUAGGAAUUGCAUUCGAUACUGGGAAGCUAGAGUAUGGGAGAGGAUGGUAGAAUUCCAGGUGUAGCGGUGAAAUGCGUAGAGAUCUGGAGGAAUACCGAUGGCGAAGGCAGCCAUCUGGCCUAACACUGACGCUGAGGUACGAAAGCAUGGGGAGCAAACAGGAUUAGAUACCCCCGUAGUCCCUGUCUCUUAUAC
This 308-nucleotide ribosomal RNA is filed under the name uncultured bacterium. RNAcentral's name for it is "partial 16S ribosomal RNA". It matches the Rfam family "Bacterial small subunit ribosomal RNA", at positions 505 to 807 of the family's 1533-position model. The record is from RNAcentral.